This 253-nucleotide ribosomal RNA is filed under the name uncultured bacterium. RNAcentral's name for it is "partial 16S ribosomal RNA". It matches the Rfam family "Bacterial small subunit ribosomal RNA", at positions 524 to 776 of the family's 1533-position model. The record is from RNAcentral.
UACGUAGGGGGCAAGCGUUGUCCGGAUUUAUUGGGCGUAAAGAGCGUGUAGGCGGCCAUACAGGUCAGCUGUGAAAACUCGAGGCUCAACCUCGAGACGUCGGUUGAAACCGUAUGGCUAGAGUCCGGAAGAGGAGAGUGGAAUUCCCGGUGUAGCGGUGAAAUGCGCAGAUAUCGGGAAGAACACCCGUGGCGAAGGCGCCGCCCUGGGCCGAAACUGACGCUGAGGAGCGAAAGCGUGGGGAGCGAACAGG